This 2904-nucleotide long non-coding RNA is filed under the name Sus scrofa (pig). RNAcentral's name for it is "lncRNA (ENSSSCG00015027169.1)". Lineage: Eukaryota; Metazoa; Chordata; Mammalia; Artiodactyla; Suidae. The record is from RNAcentral.
GUUAGCAAGAGGCGGAAACGGUUUAGCAUGUACAGCUUUUUAACCUUCCUCUGUCCCCGGCGCUAGUAGCGAUCUGCGCAUGCGCAAGAUGCUGUGCCCACCUCCAACUUUCCUGACGUCUCUUGUCAAUCCCAUGAGGAUCUGGGAUUUGGAUGCAGAGAUGUUUAGCAACUUUUUUAAGAUAAGUAUUUCAUGUAGCUGUUGGACUGUAAGCUCCCUGAGGAUAGAGACUAAUUUUCACCUUCCUGCUUCUAUCUUCAGUGCCUAACAGUGUAUAGUACCUAGUAGGAGAUGAAUACACAUUUCCUAGAGGAAUAAAAAAAGGAAAUGGCCAAAUGUUAAAUCCUGAUCUGCCCAACUCCCAAAUCUAAUUCUUUCUACUUCUGAACUCAUAAUUUAUUAAAAACAAUUGGUAUUUGGCCCAUGGUUUUUAAUCCCUUAUUUACUGAAUAACUGGAAGCGUUAUGAGCUCUGUUCCAAUGUCUGUUUGAAGUUCUAGGUAAAUAAUUAGUUACCGAGUUCCCGUCUCUUGGCCAAAUCUAUAAUUAAGCAAGUUUCACAAGACAUAGUUAGACACAGUCCCUGGUUCCCUAAAAUGCGUUAACAUUCACCCAGAGGACCAGACUUGGAGAAAAACAUAGGACUGGAAAAUAUUUACUAUACUCCAGUAUCAUUGCUCUCCCUUGUCACCAUAAGCAAUUACAGAACCGGAAAGUGCUUUUUUUUUUUUUUUUUUUUUUUUUUAAUCUAAACAUAAAUCUUAACAGACAUACAUUCUCAUAGAGUUUCUUCACAGUGCAUUUUAGGAAUGAAACAAUUUUUGAUUCGUUAGCACACAAUGAUGUUAACAUAUUACAGUUUCUGUCCAGGAAUUGGAUAAAGGCAAGAAGUGAAAGACACAUCAAGCACGCUGUUCUAGAAGGACACGUGCAGGUGUGCCUGGGAACUUGGCCUGAGUAAUGCUUUAAGGCUCAACAAGGCAGGCCCAGUGAUCUGUGAAUCAUCUUUAUCUUCUGAUAAAGAAUGGGCGAAUAAAGUCAUUUCUCCUUGCCUUUCUCUCUCACUCAUGUGUUGACCAAAGUUACACUGGCCAUGGCUCCAGUCAUCUCAGGGCACUUCAUAGGGCCUUUUCAGUUGUGUGCUCAUCUAUGUCGUCAUUCCUCCACUUCUUCCAAGUAUUUACUAAGAGCUCUCAUAGCUCUUAGGGGGCUUGGGAGGAACACAGCACAAGCUUCUAGGCUCUGUGGGCGUUAUUGACAAUACACCUGGAACUCAGGUGUGACUGUGAGGCCCCUGGCAGCUGAGCUGACGACUUAACUAUUAUCACCUUCCUUCCUCACCAGCUCCUGAGAUCCCUAAAAGUCUUUCUUGUUUCUGUGACCUGAGGAGUGUGAUUCUCCCUUAUGUCCCUCUGCGCGGGGGUCACUGUGACAUCAACACAAAGGUGGCUCUCUUGCCUUGACUGAAAUUGCACCCAUGUUACCAUGACUGCAUGAUUAGAGAGGUGUCAACCCUUUACACAUUACUUAGUUGAAGAAGGUGCAGGAGCUGUUCAGCUAUGUGGAUGAUUCUUCUUGCUUCCUUUAGUGAGUUUGGCUACCUCUGUUUCCAUUGUGCACUAAAUCUACUGAUAUCAUUCAAAAUAUUUUUUAGCUUCGGGGUAGGACUGGCUCUCCCAGAGUCAAAUAUUUUCUUUAUAUUCUCCUUAUUUCCUGCUUUGAGUUUCCCUCUAUUACAUCUGCUCUGGUCAAAAUCUUUUUUUUUUUUCUUUUUUGUCUGCCCCACAGCAUAUGGAGCUCCUGGGCCAGGGAUCAUAUCUGAGCCACAGUUGCAAGCUAUGCCACAGCUGCAGCAACACCAGAUCCUUAACCCACUGGGCCGAGCUUGGGGCCCAGCACUCCAGAGAUGCCACCAAUCCCACUGUACCACAGCAGGAACUCCAAAACAUUUUUUUUAAAAUAGCAGUUUUAUUGAGAUAUAAUUCACCUUUGAAAGUGUAAAGUUCAUUGUUUUUUUAGUUUAUUUGCAGAGUCAUACAUCACUACUCUCUAUUUUCCUUAUAUUUUUAUCACCCCCAAAAGAAAUACAUACUCGUUAAUAGUCAUUCUCAAGUCCUCCUUUUCCCCAGACCCUGGCAACCACUAAUCCAUUUUCUGUUCCAUGAAUUUGCCUAUUUUGGACAUUUCAUACGAAUGGAGCCACACAAUAUGUGGUCCUUUGUGACUGGCUUCUCUCAAUUAGAUUCCAGGUUUAUCCACGUUGUAACAGGUAUCAGUACCUCACUCCUUUUUGACUGGCUAAUUGAUUGUAGGGAUAAACCACAUUUUGCUUAUUCAUUCACCAGUCAGUGGACACUUGGGUUGCCUCUAAUUUUGGGCUCUGAUGAAUAAUGAAAGUUCCUACACAAGUUUUUGUGUGGACAUAUGUUUUCAAUUCUCUGGGAUAUGUAUCUAGAAGUGGCGUUGCUAGGCUGGCUCAGAUCUUAAAGAAACAUUUUAAUGGUCUUCAUUCUUAUCUCUGUUUCCCAGGGAACAGGUUUCUCUAUGGUCAUUAAACAAAAGGGAAUGACCAGCCGCAGGAACUUCACCAAGUACUGGAUACCACACCUGCUUUUCCAAGUCAGAUACAACCAUCUCCAUUCUAAACAGUCUACAUCUUUGAAGGACUGUGGCAGACCCAGGCUGGGGAUUAGUCACUGGGGUGACUCACAAACAGCAGCUUGCAGCGCCCAGAGGAGGCUCCCAUUUACAACUGAAGUCUGCCCUCUACUGGUCACAAGCAGCCCAAACCCACACCACAAAGCCACUGAAGAGUUUGCUUCUAAAAUCGUUUCUUCUCCAGGAACAUUUUGGAAAUUGCUACAAUUUAUUUAGCUAGAGAAAUACAAAGAAAUGACAUCUUCUG